AUGGAGCCGCUUCUUAUGCUUAGCGUAGCGAUUCUCCUUGCGCAUGCGGUGACUUCCCUGCUGCGCACGGUUAUGGCCCGCCGGCGGCACUCGCGGUGCUACCUGCUGGACUACGUGUGCCAUAGGCCGUGUGACGACCGCAAGGUGAGCACGGAUACCGUUGGCAGGGUGGUCACGCGCAACAAGCGCCUCGGCGUCCCAGAGUACCGGUUCCUCCUCCGCGUCAUCGUCCGCUCCGGCAUCGGCGAGGAGAGCUACUGCCCGCGCAGCAUCCUGGAGGGCCGCGAAGAGUCGCCCACCCACCAGGACGCGCUGGACGAGAUGGACGCCUUCUUCGACGAAGCAAUCGCCGAGCUCUUCGCCAGGAGCGGCGUCGCGCCACGCGACGUCGACGUGCUGGUCGUCAACGUCUCCUUGCUGGCCCCCGCGCCGUCGCUCGCCUCCAGGAUCGUGCGCCGCUUCGGCAUGCGCGAGGACGUCGCCGAGUACAACCUCUCCGGCAUGGGGUGCGGCGCCAGCUUGAUCUCGCUGGACCUCGCACGCAGAGCGCUGCGCACGCGGCCGGCGUCGUUAGCUCUCGUGGUCUCGUCCGAGUCCAUCGCUCCCAGCUGGUACGCCGGCACGGACAGGUCCAUGAUGAUGGGCAACUGCCUCUUCCGCAGCGGAGGCUCCGCCGUGCUGCUCACCAACAACCCGUCGCUCCGCGGGCGCGCCAAGAUGGCGCUCCGCCAUCUCGUGCGCACAAACAUCGCCGCCGACGACGAGGCGCACACGUGCGCGCUGCAGCGCGAGGACGGCGACGGACACGUGGGGAUCAGCCUCAGCAAGGAUUUGCCCAAGGCCGCUGUCCGGGCCAUGACCCUUAAUCUACGGCGCCUCGUCCCACGCGUCCUCCCCUUGUCCGAGUUGCUGCGGUUCGCUGCCCACUACGUAUCCAGCAAGCUUCUAUCCCACUGUCCCAUGCAGGUGAAGGCAGACGGACGACUUCCCAAGAUCAACUUUAAGACCGGCGUGGAGCACUACUGCCUCCACCCCGGCGGCGCCGCCGUCGUGGAGGCUGUGAAGGAGAGCCUCGGUCUCGACGCCGACGACGUGGAGCCUGCGCUGAUGACACUGCGCCGGUGGGGGAACACGUCCGCCAGCAGCCUCUGGUACGUGCUGUCUUACAUGGAGGCCAAGGGGAGGCUGAAGAAAGGGGACCGGGCGCUCAUGCUCACCUUCGGCUCCGGAUUCAAGUGCAACAGUUGCCUGUGGGAGGUGACCGGCGACAUGGCUGACAAGGGCGCGUGGGCAGACUGCAUCGACGACUACCCACCGCCACCGGAGAGCGCCACUACCAACCCGUACAUGGACAAGUACAGCUGGGUUAACCAAGUCGACUCAACGGUGUUAUAG
This 1395-nucleotide ribosomal RNA is filed under the name Triticum aestivum (bread wheat). RNAcentral's name for it is "partial small subunit ribosomal RNA". The record is from RNAcentral. Lineage: Eukaryota; Viridiplantae; Streptophyta; Magnoliopsida; Poales; Poaceae.